GAGACUGCAAGACUUGAGAUCGGGUGAGGUUAAACGUACUUUCAGGGUAAGGGUAAAGUCCUGUAAUCCCGGAAGGACGACCAGUGGCGAAAGCGUUUAACUAGAACGAAUCUGACGGUAAGGAACGAAGGCUAGGGUAGCAAACCGGAUUAGAUACCCGGGUAGUCCUAGCUGUAAACAUUGCCCAUUUGAUGUUGCUUUCCCGUUGAGGGAAGGCAGUGUCGGAGCGAAGGUGUUAAAUGGGCCGCUUGGGAAGUAUGGUCGCAAGACUGAAACUUAAAGGAAUUGGCGGGGGAGCACCGCAACGGGAGGAAUGUGCGGUUUAAUUGGAUUCAACGCCGGAAAACUCACCGGGAACGACCUGUGCAUGAGAGUCAACUUGACGAGCUUACUCGAUAGCAGGAGAGGUGGUGCAUGGCCGUCGUCAGCUCGUACCGUAGGGCGUUCACUUAAGUGUGAUAACGAGCGAGACCCACAUCUUUAAUUGCAAAUGUAUAUGGGAAUAUGCAUGCACUUUAGAGAAACCGCCAGCGCUAAGCU
RNAcentral lists this ribosomal RNA (540 nucleotides) under uncultured bacterium. RNAcentral's name for it is "bacterial SSU rRNA". It matches the Rfam family "Archaeal small subunit ribosomal RNA", at positions 580 to 1120 of the family's 1478-position model. The record is from RNAcentral.